RNAcentral lists this ribosomal RNA (253 nucleotides) under uncultured bacterium. RNAcentral's name for it is "partial 16S ribosomal RNA". It matches the Rfam family "Bacterial small subunit ribosomal RNA", at positions 524 to 776 of the family's 1533-position model. The record is from RNAcentral.
GACAGAGGGUGCAAACGUUGUUCGGAAUUACUGGGCGUAAAGCGCGUGUAGGCGGCAAGGCAAGUCGGGUGUGAAAGCCCUGGGCUCAACCCGGGAAGUGCAUUCGAUACUGCUAAGCUAGAGUCCCGGAGAGGAUGGUGGAACUCUCGGUGUAGAGGUGAAAUUCGUAGAUAUCGAGAGGAACACCGGUGGCGAAGGCGGCCUUCUGGACAGUGACUGACGCUGAGACGCGAAAGCGUGGGGAGCAAACAGG